AUACCGCGAAACUGCGAAUGGCUCAUUAUAUAAGUUAUCGUUUAUUUGAUAGCACAUUACUACUUGGAUAACCGUGGUAAUUCUAGAGCUAAUACAUGCUAAAAAUCCCGACUUCGGAAGGGAUGUAUUUAUUAGAUUAAAAGCCAACGCCCUUCGGGGCUCUGUGGUGAUUCAUAAUAACUGGUCGAAUCGCAUGGCCUUGCGCCGGCGAUGGUUCAUUCAAAUUUCUUCCCUAUCAACUUUCGAUGCGAGGGUCUUGUCCUCGCAUGGUUGCAACGGGUAACGGAGGGUUAGGGCUCGACCCCGGAGAAGGAGCCUGAGAAACGGCUACUACAUCCAAGGAAGGCAGCAGGCGCGCAAAUUACCCAAUCCCGACACGGGGAGGUAGUGACAAUAAAUACUGAUACAGGGCUCUUUUGGGUCUUGUAAUCGGAAUGAGUACAAUUUAAAUCCCUUAACGAGGAACAAUUGGAGGGCAAGUCUGGUGCCAGCAGCCGCGGUAAUUCCAGCUCCAAUAGCGUAUAUUAAAGUUGUUGUGGUUAAAAAGCUCGUAGUCGAACCUUGGGCCUGGCUGGCCGGUCCCCCUCACCGGGUGCACUGAUCCAGCCGGGCCUUUCCCUCUGUGGAACCCCAUGGCCUUCACUGGCUGUGCGGGGGAAACAGGACUUUUACUGUGAAAAAAUUAGAGUGCUCCAGGCAGGCCUAUGCUCGAAUACAUUAGCAUGGAAUAAUAGAAUAGGACGUGUGGUUCUAUUUUGUUGGUUUCUAGGACCGCCGUAAUGAUUAAUAGGGACAGUCGGGGGCAUCAGUAUUCAGUUGUCAGAGGUGAAAUUCUUGGAUCUACUGAAGACUAACUACUGCGAAAGCAUUUGCCAAGGAUGUUUUCAUUGAUAAGGAACGAAAGUUAGGGGAUCGAAGACGAUCAGAUACCGUCGUAAUCUUAACUAUAAACUAUGCCGACUAGGGAUCGGACGAUGUUAUUAUUUGACGCGUUCGGCACCUUUCGAGAAAUCAAAGUGC
RNAcentral lists this ribosomal RNA (1020 nucleotides) under Scopulariopsis sp. RNAcentral describes it as "SSU rRNA". It matches the Rfam family "Eukaryotic small subunit ribosomal RNA", at positions 76 to 1106 of the family's 1831-position model. Lineage: Eukaryota; Fungi; Ascomycota; Sordariomycetes; Microascales; Microascaceae. The record is from RNAcentral.